CCUACGGGAGGCAGCAGUAGGGAAUCUUUCACAAUGGGCGAAAGCCUGAUGGAGCAACGCCGCGUGCAGGAUGAAGGCCUUCGGGUUGUAAACUGCUUUUAUAAGCGAGAAAUAUGAUGGUAACUUAUGAAUAAGGAUCGGCUAACUACGUGCCAGCAGCCGCGGUCAUACGUAGGAUCCGAGCAUUAUCCGGAGUGACUGGGUGUAAAGAGUUGCGUAGGUGGCAUAAUAAGUAGCUAGUGAAAUCUGGUGGCUCAACCAUUCAGACUAUUAGCUAAACUGUUAAGCUCGAGACCGUUAGGGGUAACUGGAAUUUCUAGUGUAGGAGUGAAAUCCGUAGAUAUUAGAAGGAACACCAAUAGCGUAGGCAGGUUGCUGGGACGGUUCUGACACUAAGGCACAAAAGCGUAGGGAGCAAACGGGAUUAGAUACCCGAGUAGUC
RNAcentral lists this ribosomal RNA (442 nucleotides) under uncultured bacterium. RNAcentral's name for it is "partial 16S ribosomal RNA". It matches the Rfam family "Bacterial small subunit ribosomal RNA", at positions 338 to 795 of the family's 1533-position model. The record is from RNAcentral.